CACGUAGGGGGCAAGCGUUGUCCGGAUUUAUUGGGCGUAAAGAGCGUGUAGGCGGCCAGGUAGGUCUGCUGUGAAAACUCGAGGCUCAACCUCGAGACGUCGGCGGAAACCAUCUGGCUAGAGUCCGGAAGAGGAGAGUGGAAUUCCUGGUGUAGCGGUGAAAUGCGCAGAUAUCAGGAGGAACACCGGUGGCGAAGGCGGAUCUCUGGGCCUUACCUGACGCUGAGGCGCGAAAGCUAGGGGAGCGAACAGG
RNAcentral lists this ribosomal RNA (253 nucleotides) under uncultured bacterium. RNAcentral's name for it is "partial 16S ribosomal RNA". It matches the Rfam family "Bacterial small subunit ribosomal RNA", at positions 524 to 776 of the family's 1533-position model. The record is from RNAcentral.